Chinchilla lanigera (long-tailed chinchilla) is the source of this 442-nucleotide long non-coding RNA. RefSeq lists it as uncharacterized. The record is from RefSeq and is a predicted model, not a curated record. The transcript is spliced from 4 exons. NCBI's taxonomy places the organism in Eukaryota, Metazoa, Chordata, Mammalia, Rodentia, Chinchillidae.
CUCCCGGCUGACUUUUAGUCACGACCGCGGGGCGUGUGGGGAGAUGCAGUACACGCUUCUGUCCUCCAGCCCCGCCUGCAGUAGUUCACAUCAACUCACCGUGACUAUACACCCGUGUUGGGUGCUUUAAAUCGAAGGUUGCUGUUUGCACACCAGCACUUAAAAGGACAAUGUAACCGUAAGAGAACAAGACCCAAACAAGGACUGAGUCCCACUCUGCAGAUCUUCAAGAGCAUUCAAUAUGGAAGUGUUAGAUGCUGCUGAUAUUCAGCAGGGGAAUGGACUUGUGUUUGGAAAUGAUGAUGUUGUCUCAGCAUGAAAUUUAAACUGGACCUGGAGGAAUAUGAAGGCAUGGCGAUAGUGAAAACAGAGAACUUCAGACAUUUUGAAAACCGAGGAAGUGGAGGUAAACUUGUGCUACAGUGACUUGUUCUUCGUAGAA